GCGUUAAGAAAGGAAGGAUGCCCAGCAGUUGUUUGUGCCAUCUAUCAGGAAGUGGCUAGGAAAAUGGGCAUUGUUUGUGAGGCGGUUUAUUGUGACCAGAUAAAGCUUCUUCUUAGAUGGAAGGAUUCAGCCGGGUCAGAGGACGAUACUAUUUAUAUUGACGUCUUUCGUGGAGGGUCUUUAAACCAGUCAAGUUUGUAUCCAUCCCUCA
Molecule: long non-coding RNA, 211 nt
Organism: Daphnia pulex (common water flea)
Lineage: Eukaryota; Metazoa; Arthropoda; Branchiopoda; Diplostraca; Daphniidae
Exons: 2
Source: RefSeq, a predicted model, not a curated record